This 334-nucleotide ribosomal RNA is filed under the name uncultured bacterium. RNAcentral describes it as "bacterial SSU rRNA". It matches the Rfam family "Bacterial small subunit ribosomal RNA", at positions 568 to 898 of the family's 1533-position model. The record is from RNAcentral.
CGUGUAGGCGGAUGCGUAAGCCGGGGGUGAAAUGCCAAGGCUCAACCUUUGGACGUGCUCCCGGAACUGCGUAUCUAGAGAAAGUCAGGGGCAGGUGGAAUUCCAGGUGUAGAGGUGAAAUUCGUAGAGAUCUGGAGGAACACCGGCGGCGAAGGCGGCCUGCUGGGACUUUUCUGACGCUGAGGCGCGAAAGCGUGGGGAGCAAACAGGAUUAGAUACCCUGGUAGUCCACGCUGUAAACGAUGAACACUCGAUGUGCGAGGUAUACGACCCCUCGCGUGUCACAGCUAACGCAUUAAGUGUUCCGCCUGGGGACUACGGUCGCAAGACUAAA